This is an RNA transcript of Prosopis cineraria, 1642 nucleotides long. It is a transcript of the gene named 2-carboxy-1,4-naphthoquinone phytyltransferase, chloroplastic, with no coding region annotated. Lineage: Eukaryota; Viridiplantae; Streptophyta; Magnoliopsida; Fabales; Fabaceae. The record is from RefSeq and is a predicted model, not a curated record. The transcript has 11 exons.
GUUCUUACCGUUAGCUGCUGCUGCUGCUGUCAGUUUUCUCCAUUUUGUUAAUUUUUUUCAUCUCUCAUUGUACCAUAGAAAUAGAAGAGAAGAGCUUGGAAAUGCAUUAAUCUCUGUAAUGUCUUCCACAUUCUGCAAGCUCACUCAAGGGUCUUGUCUCCAGACUCCGAGCUGCUUCAUCAAAAGGAACUGUGUGAGCUCCAAGAGAUCAUCAUGUAAUGUGGAAGGAGUGUUUUAUUGGAGAUAUAGAAGUCAAUUGCUUGUCAGGAGAAGGCAAUGGGACCAACAUGUGCUUCGUUCGGUCAAAGCAGACCGAUCCUUUUUUAGCCGUAAAGAAGAACCUGGAGAGGUAGUUGAAGAGGAGAUUCCAAAGGGAGUUUUGAUUUGGAGGGCAAUGAAAUUGCCAAUGUACUCUGUUGCUUUGGUUCCUCUCACUGUAGGUGGUGCAGCGGCUUAUCUGCAGACAGGCCUCUUCUCAUCUAGAUGUUAUUUUACUCUCUUGGCAUCUUCAGUUCUUAUCAUCAUGUGGCUCAAUUUAAGCAAUGAUGUUUAUGAUUUUGAUACUGGAGCUGAUAAAAACAAAAAGGAAUCAGUGAUCAACCUGUUUGGCAGCCGAACUGGAACCUUCAUUGCUGCCUGCUUAUGUCUUGCUCUUGGCUUCACGGGGCUAACUUGGUCUGCUAUGAAGGCUGGAAAUAUACAAUCAAUUUUGUUUCUAACUUGUGCAAUCAUUUGCGGUUACAUAUAUCAGUGUCCACCAUUUCGGUUAAGCUACCAAGGACUGGGAGAGCCCUUGUGUUUUGCAGCAUUUGGUCCUUUUUCUACUACUGCCUUUUAUUUAUUGCUGGGCAGUGAAAGUGUGAUGAACCAUUUACCCUUAACUGGAACAGUUCUUUCGGCAUCGGUCCUUGUUGGGUUCACAACAGCCCUAAUUCUCUUUUGCAGUCACUUCCAUCAGGUGGAAGGUGACAGGGAGGUCGGAAAAUUUUCGCCUUUGGUCAGACUUGGCUCUAGAAGAGGUGCACAGGUAGUGAAAGUGGCAAUCAUGUUGCUAUACGCCCUUUUGGCUUCGUUCGGACUAAGCGGGAUGCUUCCUGUCACUUGUAUUUUUACAAAGACAUAGGAAAUAAACCAAGCCAAUCAUAAACUUGCCAUGGUGAUGGAGACUUAACAGUAUGGGAUACCACGUCUCACAUUGAAUAGUAUGUAAUGCUCAAGUGGAGUAUCUAAGUGGGUUGAUUCUCUCACCUCAAUAUAGCUGAGACAGGUUUUCUUAUCCCAUUUAAAUACCCAUCACAUAGGUUUCAAGGGAUCACAUUGUUAUCAUGCUUUAUACGAUAUAUUCAUACUUAACUGAUAAAGUGUAUUGAUCGAGAAACUCACACUUAUCCAACUUUCUCUACCUCGUGUCUUAUCUGUGCCUUUCUUUUAGGGUGCAAUGACUAUUUUGGACAAGGGGCUUAUAAUUUUCUUUUGUUGUUUGUGAUAUCAGUUCCUCUGUGCCCUGACUCUUCCUAUGGGAAACUUUGUGGUUAGAUUUGUACAAGACAACCACAAGGACAAGGAAAAGAUCUUCAUGGCUAAGUAUUUUUGUGUGAGGUUGCAUGCAUUAUUUGGAGUUGCACUGGCUUUUGGACUGGUU